Molecule: ribosomal RNA, 699 nt
Filed under: uncultured beta proteobacterium
Lineage: Bacteria; Pseudomonadati; Pseudomonadota; Betaproteobacteria
Description: bacterial SSU rRNA
Rfam family: Bacterial small subunit ribosomal RNA
Source: RNAcentral
AGAGUUUGAUCCUGGCUCAGAUUGAACGCUGGCGGCAUGCCUUACACAUGCAAGUCGAACGGUAACGCGGGGCAACCUGGCGACGAGUGGCGAACGGGUGAGUAAUAUAUCGGAACGUGCCCAGUAGUGGGGGAUAGCCCGGCGAAAGCCGGAUUAAUACCGCAUGAGACCUGAGGGUGAAAGCGGGGAAUCGCAAGACCUCGCGCUAUUGGAGCGGCCGAUAUCAGAUUAGGUAGUUGGUGGGGUAAAGGCCUACCAAGCCGACGAUCUGUAGCUGGUCUGAGAGGACGACCAGCCACACUGGGACUGAGACACGGCCCAGACUCCUACGGGAGGCAGCAGUGGGGAAUUUUGGACAAUGGGCGCAAGCCUGAUCCAGCCAUGCCGCGUGCGGGAAGAAGCCUUCGGGUUGUAAACCGCUUUUGUCAGGGAAGAAAUCUUCUGGUUAAUACCUCGGGAGGAUGACGGUACCUGAAGAAUAAGCACCGGCUAACUACGUGCCAGCAGCCCGCGGUAAUACGUAGGGUGCGAGCCGUUAAUCGGAAUUGCUGGGCGUAAAGCGUGCGCAGGCGGUCUUGCAAGACAGGUGUGAAAUCCCCGGCUUAACCUGGGAACUGCACUUGUGACUGCAAGGCUUGGAGUACCGCAGAGGGGGAUGGAAUUCCGCGUGUAGCAAUGAAAUGCGUAGAUAUGCNGAGG